CCUACGGGGGGCAGCAGUGGGGAAUAUUGCACAAUGGGCGAAAGCCUGAUGCAGCGACGCCGCGUGAGCGAAGAAGGCCUUCGGGUCGUAAAGCUCUGUCCUAAGGGAAGAAAAGGACGGUACCUUAGGAGGAAGCCCCGGCUAACUACGUGCCAGCAGCCGCGGUAAUACGUAGGGGGCGAGCGUUAUCCGGAAUUACUGGGCGUAAAGGGUGCGUAGGCGGCCUUUUAAGUCAGAUGUGAAAGGCUACGGCUUAACCGUAGUUAGCAUUUGAAACUAGAAGGCUUGAGUGCAGGAGAGGAGAGAGGAAUGCCUGGGGUCGCGGUGAAAUGCGUAGAUAUUAGGGGGAACAGAAGUGGUGAAGGCGACGCUGAGACCUGCAACUGACGCUGAGGCACGAAACGCUGAGGAGUGAACAGGAUUAGAUACCCGGGUAGUC
RNAcentral lists this ribosomal RNA (439 nucleotides) under uncultured bacterium. Its description in RNAcentral is "bacterial SSU rRNA". It matches the Rfam family "Bacterial small subunit ribosomal RNA", at positions 338 to 795 of the family's 1533-position model. The record is from RNAcentral.